This is a long non-coding RNA of Cyprinus carpio carpio, 1747 nucleotides long. Lineage: Eukaryota; Metazoa; Chordata; Actinopteri; Cypriniformes; Cyprinidae. The record is from Ensembl.
CAAAAUUAUGAUUAAUAUAACAUUCAAUAAAAUCAAGAAUGUCGCAUCAAAAAAUUUUAAUUACUGUAAACAAGUUUUACUUUCAUCUUCAUAUACUUUCAUCUUCACGGUACUGCCAUGCGGGAGAAUAACAUAUGUAUGCAAUUUCCCAUGAAAUCCGUCCCCCUAAAAUAGCCCAUAAAUAGCCAUUGUUAUAGAUUUAACAAAAUGUAUGUGAGUAAAACAAAAACAUGGUUUGGAAGAUUAUUAUUAUUAUUAUUAUUAUUAUUAUUAUUAUUAUUUGCACUUUCCUAUUAGAAAUCAUUUUAAUAAAAAGUUGCAUUAUACAAUUUUAACAAAACUGGAACUCCUUUAUCAGGUCAUAUUCAAGUUUGGCUUGUGAAGAUGAAGCACACCACUACUCAAGUUAUGCAGCCUAUAUUAUAGCCCAUAAGUAUUUUGAAAUUAAUUAUUCAAAUGCUCUGAGAUGCUGUGAUUUUGUCAAGUAAGACAUGUUACUGGAUCAACAUCUUUUAUGUCCAAAAAUAUAGACUUAACCUAAUCCCUACCCCUUAACCUUCCCCUACCCAUAAUUUAUUCCUAAAACCAGUGUGAAAUGACACAUGAUUAACAAGGGUGUCCUUCUCCUGCACUUACAAAAUCUACUGUAUAAACUGCAUGCUGGUGGUACUCGUGUAUGAACCCAUGUAUAAUGGCUUGCUGUAAGUAUACAUUAAGUAUACUUAAAUUAACUGUUUUUUCAUAGGCCAUCAUAUAUGCCCUGGCUGUCCUACGGAAUUUGUCCUUACAGGAGGCUGAGCAGGUCUUCCUUUCUGGUCCGGAUUAUCAUUACAGGAGUUGAAGCCUACAGCCUUUCUGUCUGUGCAGCAACUGAUGGAAAUGUUGUAUUAUGUGUUAAUGCAAAAAUGAGUAUAUAUUUAUACAUUCUUGAAUCAUCGAGUCUUGUGUCUUGCCUCUCAGCAAACUUUUAAAUAUCUGUCUGUAAUUUAGUGACCGCAAAUGCUGAUUUCAUUUGAUUCCAUCUGUAUUAUAGUACCUCAUAAUGAGCUAAUUAGUUAAACUUAAGGUGGCUAAUCAAUAUACAGUAUAUUUCAAGAAACUAAGACUUAAUGUACUCCACUUUUUCAGUUGUUUAAAGACUGAAUUACAUUUUUCAUUUAUAUUUUAAGUGUGAAUUCAUUUAAAUUUAAAAUUGUUAAUUCAAAGCAGGUAUUACACACUUUGUAAUUAACAUCUGAUGCAUUUAUAAAUCAAAAUUCACAAUUGAAAUACAUAAAAAAAAUGUUCCUGGGAUUCAAUAUCUUUAACAACAUGUACAAACAUUACUAUAAACUAAACCACCAGCAGCCUCCAAACUGCAGCCUCCGCUAUAUAACCCGGUAGGUGGCGCUGUUACAAGAGAAUAGGGUCCCAGAAAUGCGGCUGUCACACAAUCUCAUUCUAGUGGUCAUAUAUAUAAGCAAAAGAACGAUAUUGUCUCUCGGUCACAAUAACUGAGUAAAUUCAACACAUAUCGCCUACCUGGCAUCCUGUUAUUUAUUUAUUUAUUUAUUUAUUUAUUUUUUGCAUUGUGUAAAUAAAUAAUCUAUAAUUCAAAGUUCUUACUUUUCAGAGCUUAACCAGAGCAUAAGCUAUUUCUGAAUGUCUGGCCUAUAGUUUUAAAUGUAUUUAAUAAAGUGACAAAUAAGCGCAUAUGGGUAGGCUUUUAAUUCCAGAGCUCAAAAGUACUGCAAAGAAGAACUAACAA